CCUACGGGAGGCAGCAGUGAGGAAUAUUGGUCAAUGGACGAGAGUCUGAACCAGCCAAGUAGCGUGAAGGAUGACUGCCCUAUGGGUUGUAAACUUCUUUUAUAAAGGAAUAAAACGAGGCACGUGUGCCUUUUUGCAUGUACUUUAUGAAUAAGGAUCGGCUAACUCCGUGCCAGCAGCCGCGGUAAUACGGAGGAUCCGAGCGUUAUCCGGAUUUAUUGGGUUUAAAGGGAGCGUAGAUGGGUUGUUAAGUCAGUUGUGAAAGUUUGCGGCUCAACCGUAAAAUUGCAAUUGAUACUGGCAGUCUUGAGUACAGUUGAGGUAGGCGGAAUUCGUGGUGUAGCGGUGAAAUGCUUAGAUAUCACGAAGAACCCCGAUUGCGAAGGCAGCUUACGAAUCUGCGAUUGACGCUGAUGCACGAAAGCGUGGGUAUCAAACAGGAUUAGAUACCCUUGUAGUC
RNAcentral lists this ribosomal RNA (460 nucleotides) under uncultured bacterium. RNAcentral describes it as "partial 16S ribosomal RNA". It matches the Rfam family "Bacterial small subunit ribosomal RNA", at positions 338 to 795 of the family's 1533-position model. The record is from RNAcentral.